Molecule: small nuclear RNA, 111 nt
Organism: Arabis alpina (gray rockcress)
Lineage: Eukaryota; Viridiplantae; Streptophyta; Magnoliopsida; Brassicales; Brassicaceae
Rfam family: U5 spliceosomal RNA
About the family: U5 RNA is a component of both types of known spliceosome. The precise function of this molecule is unknown, though it is known that the 5' loop is required for splice site selection and p220 binding, and that both the 3' stem-loop and the Sm site are important for Sm protein binding and cap methylation.
Source: Rfam
AGCUGUGCGGAGAGGGCAAAGCGAGCUAUUCUUUAGCCUUUUACUAAAGAAUACCGUGUGCUCUCCGUGCGAAACGGCAUACGCCCAUUUUUGGAAGGGUUUUAAAGCUCA